This 70-nucleotide small nucleolar RNA is filed under the name Ailuropoda melanoleuca (giant panda). RNAcentral's name for it is "Small nucleolar RNA SNORD113/SNORD114 family (ENSAMEG00000029413.1)". It matches the Rfam family "Small nucleolar RNA SNORD113/SNORD114 family". Rfam says of the family: The imprinted human domain at 14q32 contains two clusters of tandemly repeated small nucleolar RNAs named 14q(I) and 14q(II) snoRNAs. These two clusters are named SNORD113 and SNORD114 respectively in the HGNC approved gene symbol nomenclature. The snoRNAs found in both clusters are clearly related and are represented here by a single family. The record is from Rfam by way of RNAcentral. Lineage: Eukaryota; Metazoa; Chordata; Mammalia; Carnivora; Ursidae.
UGGACUAAUGAUGAUAGCUGGUGUCUUAUGAAUCAUGGUUGAUGAAUACAUCUCGAACUCCGAGGUCCAA